RNAcentral lists this non-coding RNA (88 nucleotides) under unclassified sequences. RNAcentral describes it as "DUF3800-VII RNA". It matches the Rfam family "DUF3800-VII RNA". The record is from Rfam by way of RNAcentral.
UGCAGGUAUGCGUGGGAACUACUUAGGUCGCUCGUAAGAGUGGCAGCCCCAAGCGGGUGGGAUCCUAAGUCCCGGGACCUGCAAUCAG